Molecule: ribosomal RNA, 301 nt
Filed under: uncultured bacterium
Lineage: Bacteria
Description: partial 16S ribosomal RNA
Rfam family: Bacterial small subunit ribosomal RNA
Source: RNAcentral
CAGUCGCCGCGGUAAGACAGAGGAUGCAAGCGUUAUCCAGAAUGAUUGGGUGUAAAGCGUCUGUAGGUGGCUUUUCAAGCCCGCCGUCAAAUCCUAGGGCUCAACCCUGGACAGGCAGUGGAAACUACCAAGCUGGAGUACGGUAGGGGUAGAGGGAAUUUCCGGUGGAGUGGUAAAAUGCGUUGAGAUCGGAAAGAACACCAAUGGCGAAAGCACUCUGCUGGGCCGACACUGACACUGAGAGACGAAAGCUAGGGGAGCAAAUGGGAUUAGAUACCCCUGUAGUCCCUGUCUCUUAUAC